This 482-nucleotide ribosomal RNA is filed under the name uncultured bacterium. RNAcentral's name for it is "partial 16S ribosomal RNA". It matches the Rfam family "Bacterial small subunit ribosomal RNA", at positions 30 to 507 of the family's 1533-position model. The record is from RNAcentral.
AUUGAACGCUGGCGGCAUGCCUUACACAUGCAAGUCGAACGGUAACAGCACUUCCGUGGCUUACUAGUGGCGGACGGGGGCGUAAUACAUACGAACGUGCCUAGUAGUUGUGGGUAACUACUCGAAACAGUAGCUCAUACCUCAUGAGAUCUAAUAAUUAAAACAGGAUACCUUCAGGCCUUACGCUACUAUAGCUGCCGAUGGCAGAUUAGGUAGUUGGUGGGAUAAUAGCUUACCAAGCCGACGAUCUGUAGCGGGUCUGAGAGGACGAGCAGCCACACUGGGACUGAGACACGGUCCAGACUCCUACGGGAGGCAGCAGUGGGGAAUUUUGGACAAUGGGCGAAAGCCUGACCCAGCAAUGCCGCGUGAAGGAUGAAGGCCUUCGGGUUGUAAACUGCUUUUGUACGGAAAGAAAAGCCCUCUUCUAAUCCAGGAGGGUCAUGACGGUACCGGAAGAAUAAGCACCGGCUAACUACGUG